UGGCGGACGGGUGGGUAACGCGUGGGUAACCUGCCUCAUACAGGGGGAUAACAGUUAGAAAUGACUGCUAAUACCGCAUAAGACCACAGCACCGCAUGGUGCAGGGGUAAAAACUCCGGUGGUAUGAGAUGGACCCGCGUCUGAUUAGGUAGUUGGUGGGGUAACGGCCUACCAAGCCGACGAUCAGUAGCCGACCUGAGAGGGUGACCGGCCACAUUGGGACUGAGACACGGCCCAA
This 238-nucleotide ribosomal RNA is filed under the name uncultured bacterium. RNAcentral's name for it is "partial 16S ribosomal RNA". It matches the Rfam family "Bacterial small subunit ribosomal RNA", at positions 96 to 334 of the family's 1533-position model. The record is from RNAcentral.